CUGGUCAGCUUUACACAGGUGUCAGAUGAACCGUCACAGCCAGAUUUGCAUGUUGGCCUCAGGAGGGCUUCAAGGUCCAACAUCUCGACAUUGCUCUUCUUGAAAACAGCAGCCUGUGGUUAUGUCAGAGAUGCAAACACUGCUGAAGGCUACAGAGGGAAGCUGGUACUGGCUGCCGUUGAGGCUAAACACUGGGUGGGUUUUUGAAAGAGCUAAUGUAUUCCAGAAGAUAACUCCCUUUGCCAGCCAGAGAAAGGAAGCCAAGAGUCCAUCUUCCUUUCUCCCUAGCCCUAUGAACUAUUUUGGACUGGGGCUGGAACUAGCCUUCAUCCCUACUGCCAGAUGGGCUGAGCGUGAGGCUGGAAACGUGAACAGCUGGCACAGCAGAAGCUGGAGUAAUACUCAUUGCCACAAAGCUGGGCCUGCAGGAUCAAAUCACAGUUGGCCAGCUCUGGCUGGUCGACGCAGUCCCUGCCAGGGUCCCUGGGCUGGGCGGUGGGUGCUGCAGGACGACAGGGGAGAGAGAAGGUGGUGAGGAAGCUCUGUGUAUGCUGAAAAUUCUCACCUGCCAUUUCAUUUCCUUCAGAGGAACACAGCAUUGUAACUGCCAGAUUGAAAACGAAGUGCACUUAACCAUACAUACAAACUCUAUGAGGGAUGAUGAUUUCUACCUGUUUCUUGGCCUCACUUCAACAUGCAGUGGUCCUCCCAUUAUUAUUUGUGGCCUCAGCCCACUGAAUAGCUCUUCCUAGACUCCCAAAUAUUUAUUGACUGGAUAAUUAAACAUCUCUUGAAGUUAA
Molecule: long non-coding RNA, 800 nt
Organism: Pan troglodytes (chimpanzee)
Lineage: Eukaryota; Metazoa; Chordata; Mammalia; Primates; Hominidae
Exons: 2
Source: RefSeq, a predicted model, not a curated record